Molecule: unclassified non-coding RNA, 415 nt
Filed under: Hevea brasiliensis (rubber tree)
Lineage: Eukaryota; Viridiplantae; Streptophyta; Magnoliopsida; Malpighiales; Euphorbiaceae
Source: RNAcentral
GGGGAUUUAAAGUGAUUUUAAAAAUAGAAUUCUGUAUAAUUGGGGAAGCAGAAAAUCCUGCAAUUUCCACUCUUAAUGAUUCUUGGCUCCUGGACAGGUUGAUUUCAUGCCAUUCUUUAAAUUGACUAUGUAAAACUAGAUGUUGAAAUCCGUAAAUGACAAGAUAGGAGAAAAAUGGAUACAAGCUCACAAGCCAUAUGAGAUGAUUUAAAGUAGCUUCAAUCGCGAGUGUUUGUAGAAAGGAUGUAGCAGACAACCAGCACUUUUGACUUCACACCUCAAUCCACAGCCAGCAGUAUCUGCUGUUGUCAUUUAGAUAUCAAUUACAUAGUGUUAUUUCCUUUUUCUAAAUUUCAAUUCCACUAAACCAGCAAGCAUUAGGAAAUCUCUUCGUUCACGGUCCAACUAAAACGCU